Molecule: ribosomal RNA, 710 nt
Filed under: uncultured bacterium
Lineage: Bacteria
Description: bacterial SSU rRNA
Rfam family: Bacterial small subunit ribosomal RNA
Source: RNAcentral
GGGUGAGUAACACGUAUGGAACCUGCCCGUAGCAGGGGGAUAAGCGGAAGAAAUUCCGUCUAAUACCGCGUAAUAACUCCGAGAGGCAUCUCCUGGGGUUUAAAGGGUAACACCGGCUACGGAUGGCCAUGCGGCGCAUUAGCUAGUUGGCGGGGUAACGGCCCACCAAGGCGACGAUGCGUAGGGGUUCUGAGAGGAAGGUCCCCCACACUGGUACUGAGACACGGACCAGACUCCUACGGGAGGCAGCAGUGAGGAAUAUUGGUCAAUGGGCGCGAGCCUGAACCAGCCAAGUCGCGUGAGGGAAGACGGUCCUAUGGAUUGUAAACCUCUUUUGUCGGGGAGCAAAAGACGCCACGCGUGGCGUUCCGAGAGUACCCGAAGAAAAAGCAUCGGCUAACUCCGUGCCAGCAGCCGCGGUAAUACGGAGGAUGCGAGCGUUAUCCGGAUUUAUUGGGUUUAAAGGGUGCGCAGGCGGAAGAUCAAGUCAGCGGUAAAAUUGAGAGGCUCAACCUCUUCGAGCCGUUGAAACUGGUUUUCUUGAGUGGGCGAGAAGUAUGCGGAAUGCGUGGUGUAGCGGUGAAAUGCAUAGAUAUCACGCAGAACUCCGAUUGCGAAGGCAGCAUACCGGCGCUCAACUGACGCUCAUGCACGAAAGUGUGGGUAUCGAACAGGAUUAGAUACCCUGGUAGUCCACACAGUAAACGAUG